Molecule: ribosomal RNA, 253 nt
Filed under: uncultured bacterium
Lineage: Bacteria
Description: partial 16S ribosomal RNA
Rfam family: Bacterial small subunit ribosomal RNA
Source: RNAcentral
UACGUAGGGGGCAAGCGUUGUCCGGAUUUAUUGGGCGUAAAGAGCGUGUAGGCGGCCAUACAGGUCAGCUGUGAAAACUCGAGGCUCAACCUCGAGACGUCGGUUGAAACCGUAUGGCUAGAGUCCGGAAGAGGAGAGUGGAAUUCCCGGUGUAGCGGUGAAAUGCGCAGAUAUCGGGAAGAACACCCGUGGCGAAGGCGGCUCUCUGGGCCGAUACUGACGCUGAGGAGCGAAAGCGUGGGGAGCGAACAGG